AAAAAAAUAACAAUAAUAAUAAGAAUAGUAAUAAUCAUCUCUACCCAAAAGAAAAAAUCAUCAGCGCAUCAUUUCUAAAAAAAAAAAACCAUCACCAUCAUCAUUUUUGCGAAGGUUGUUGACAGGGGCGAGAUUGGUUGCUGACCCAUCAACGACCGUUGUUUCCAACUACGGUAGGUGUUGUGUUGCUGCUGUGUUUUGUGCUGCUAUUGGAGUGAUUUGGGCAGCUGCUGCUUCAGUGCUCAAUCCCAAUGCUGAAAUGGAGUCCAGAAAUGUUUGGCUGUGAUUAAGGCUUCCUCAAGUGAUCUGGUUGCGGAGGAGGCUUCCCUCG
Molecule: long non-coding RNA, 331 nt
Filed under: Citrus maxima (pomelo)
Lineage: Eukaryota; Viridiplantae; Streptophyta; Magnoliopsida; Sapindales; Rutaceae
Description: long non-coding RNA (CMAX_LNC004063)
Source: RNAcentral